CCUACGGGUGGCAGCAGUGAGGAAUAUUGGUCAAUGGGCGCGAGCCUGAACCAGCCAAGUCGCGUGCGGGAAGACGGCCCUACGGGUUGUAAACCUCUUUUGCCGGGGAGCAACGGGCGCCACGUGUGGCGCCACUGAGAGUACCCGGAGAAAAAGCAUCGGCUAACUCCGUGCCAGCAGCCGCGGUAAUACGGAGGAUGCGAGCGUUACCCGGAUUUAUUGGGUUUAAGGGGUGCGUGGGCGGCGCGUUAAGUCAGUGGUCAAAUCGAGGGGCUCAACCCCUUCCCGCCAUUGAAACUGGCGCUCUAGAGUGGAAGUGAGGUAUGCGGAAUGCGUGGUGUAGCGGUGAAAUGCAUAGAGAUCACGCAGAACCCCGAUUGCGAAGGCAGCAUGCCGGCUUCCUACUGACGCUGAAGCACGAAAGCGUGGGGAGCGAACAGGAUUAGAUACCCGAGUAGUC
RNAcentral lists this ribosomal RNA (460 nucleotides) under uncultured bacterium. Its description in RNAcentral is "partial 16S ribosomal RNA". It matches the Rfam family "Bacterial small subunit ribosomal RNA", at positions 338 to 795 of the family's 1533-position model. The record is from RNAcentral.